This 892-nucleotide ribosomal RNA is filed under the name uncultured bacterium. RNAcentral's name for it is "bacterial SSU rRNA". It matches the Rfam family "Bacterial small subunit ribosomal RNA", at positions 8 to 916 of the family's 1533-position model. The record is from RNAcentral.
AGAGUUUGAUCAUGGCUCAGGAUGAACGCUGGCGGCGUGCCUAAUACAUGCAAGUCGAACGGAGUAUAUGAGCAAUUGUAUACUUAGUGGCGAACGGGUGAGUAACGCGUUGGUGACCUGCCCCGAAGCGGGGGACAACAGUUCGAAAGGGCUGCUAAUACCCCAUGUAGUUGAGAGAGACUAGAAACUUUCAACUAAAGGAGUAAUCCACUUCGGGAGGGGCCUGCGUCCCAUCAGCUAGUUGGUAGGGUAAAAGCCUACCAAGGCGAAGACGGGUAGGGGACCUGAGAGGGUGGCCCCCCACAAUGGAACUGAAACACGGUCCAUACACCUACGGGUGGCAGCAGUAGGGAAUAUUGCACCAUGGGCGAGAGCCUGAUGCAGCAACGCCGCGUGAGUGAUGAAGGCCUUCGGGUCGUAAAACUCUUUUCAAGGGGAAGAGGAAGGACGGUACCCUUGGAAUAGCAUCGGCUAACUACGUGCCAGCAGCCGCGGUAACACGUAGGAUGCAAGCGUUAUUCGGAUUUACUGGGCGUAAAGCGCGUGUAGGCGGUUAGGAGAGUUGGAUGUGAAAGCUCCCGGCUUAACUGGGAGAGGUCGUUCAAAACUUCCUGACUAGAGUUUGGUAGAGGAAAAUGGAAUUCCGGGUGUAGUGGUGAAAUGCGUAGAUAUCCGGAGGAACACCAGUGGCGAAAGCGAUUUUCUGGACCGAUACUGACGCUCAGACGCGAAAGCUAGGGUAGCAAACGGGAUUAGAGACCCCGGUAGUCCUAGCUGUAAACGAUGUAGACUUGGCGUUGGGAGAGUAAAAUCAUCCAGUGCCGAAGCAAACGCGAUAAGUCUACCGCCUGGGGAGUACGGCCGCAAGGUUAAAACUCAAAGGAAUUGACGG